AGUAGUCAUACGCUCGUCUCAAAGAUUAAGCCAUGCAUGUGUAAGUCUAAAUAGCUUUAGUGUGAAACUGCGAAUGGCUCAUUAUAUCAGUUAUAGUUUAUUUGGAAUAGUUUCUAUAUGGAUAACCGUAGUAAUUCUAGGGCUAAUACAUGUGUUUUCUUUGAUGGGCAACCAUUAAAGAAGUACUUAUUAGACAUAAAACCAAUUUAAUGUUGUUGUGAGUAAUAAUAAUUGUUGACUUUAUCGCAUGCUUGUUAGUAGCGAUGUUCCUUUCAAGUUUCUGCCCUAUCAGCUUUCGAUGGUAGUGUAUUGGACUACCAUGGCAGUAACGGGUAACGAAGAA
Molecule: ribosomal RNA, 343 nt
Filed under: Blastocystis sp.
Lineage: Eukaryota; Bigyra; Opalinata; Blastocystidae
Description: SSU rRNA
Rfam family: Eukaryotic small subunit ribosomal RNA
Source: RNAcentral